CACCAUUCCUUGUUCCGUUCUUCCUUUCGAGCUCCAACCGUGUCUACUCCGUGUCCAUAGCCUCAUAGCCAGACCACCUGUCUCUAAAGUACCUGUGGACAACAAAUACUACAAAGAAACACAUCAAAUGAAGCGAAACGGUUCAAGUGAACAGGUCUAGGCACAUAAUGCCAAGACGCAAAACUACAUGAAAUUGAAGCUCAAACUAGCUAAUAUUCACUUCAAAAGCAUGCAGAAAGGGACAUAUAAUCACUACAAAUCCUAACAUUAUCGAUAGACAUCAAUAUAAUUCUAAUUUACGAAUUAAUAUAUCUUAUCAAUCUUUAAAAACUUGGCAUGCCAUGAAGAAUGCCAAAGCAACAAUGAAUCAAGCUUCAUCCUGAUAUCAAGGGCAACGCCUAUACCGUAACAACUAAGGCAGAAAACUAGUUGAAACAGGAAAUAACCUGAAACAAGCAAACAUUAAAAAUCAAAGGAAAAACUAGGACAAGUGCUCAAUGAUUACGGACAUUUUUUACACUAAAGGAAUUGUCAAAUACAUAAUGCAAACAGAGGUAAGCUACGUACUUAUUAUUAUUAUUAUUAUUAUUAUUUGUGUGUUAAAAGGGUUUCCUAAUUAAUUAAACCAUCAGUCGCUUUUAAAUCAUGUUAGGAAAGAUAACGACAUGGUGCCUAAAUGGUCCAAGGACACGAUUUGAUAUCGAUGAGUGCUACUAUAUAUAUUUUGUCAUUAUCAAUUUUAUUCUUGGAAAUAGGUAGCAUAUAUAAAGAUUGUCAACCGAUGGUCUUGCUGCUUUUAAUCACUGGGUGGGUGGUUAGCUUGUUAACAUCAGGAUUACCAUCCUAAAUAAUAACAACACAAAACAAUUCUUUUUGUUUUAACUUCCUUUUAGUCAUAAUUGUUUGUGGGUCAUUACUGAUUUGAUCACCACAAACAUCAUACGAAAAAUCCUUGUAAAGUGUGUAUACAAAGUAUAUAUAUUAGUUGUAUUCACUUUGAACAAAUCAUGGACAAACCCCAUAUAGAUUGUGUACAAUUUGUAUGAAUUAUACACAAACCCAUGAUUGAUUAGUUUGUAUUAUUUAUAUUUAUAGAUAGAUUUUUUGUGAAGACAAAAAGAUAGCACACAAAGAUCAAAAAUAUCUAAUCAACUUAUGGAGUGAGGAUUACUGGCAAUACUUCGGGGAGAUAUCUAAGGGCUAUGCGAGCCAGCAAUGCGUGACUUCAUUACCUGCCCGCCGUACUAUUUGAAAUGAAUGUCGGAUGCUGGGCUAAUGGUAAUCAAGGCCUUGAGAGUUGCUCCCACUAACAAGAUCGUUGAAGUUCGCUUCUUCAAAAUCAUGUGAUAAAGAUAAAUAUACAUUGAUCCUUCGAACAAACAUACAUAUAAGAUCAAAGAUAUAUCAAGUGACAACAAACUAGUCAGAUAAAAAAAGAUAACAUCACAAAAAGAAACUAAAUAAAAUAAAUCCAUGGUCAACUUGGCCGAAAUCCUUCAACUAAACAGUGGAGAUGAACGGAGGCGGUGAUCACGGCAAGGAAUCGGGCCCUUCCAAAGACGAAAAUCGUUAACCAACAAAUGAAUGUACCUGCUUGGCCAAACCCAAUGAUGGGUUUCCAUCACGACUCUGCAAGCCAGCAUUUGCCUCUCACAAACAAUCGGUAACGUGGAAAUCCAUGCGGAAUAUCCCAUGAAAUGAUGAUAGAAUGGUCAUCGACGCUGGACGGAAGAUAGCCGGAGCGGUUAGGAAGGCAGGAAAAUUAACUGUUCCAGAGAAAAAUUUCUUUGGUGUAAUUAUCAACUAUUAAAUAAUUACUUGUUUAUGGGGGUGGUUAGCUUGUUAACAUCAGG
RNAcentral lists this long non-coding RNA (1853 nucleotides) under Linum usitatissimum (flax). Its description in RNAcentral is "long non-coding RNA (LUSI_LNC004270)". Lineage: Eukaryota; Viridiplantae; Streptophyta; Magnoliopsida; Malpighiales; Linaceae. The record is from RNAcentral.